CUUAGCGGCGGACGGGUGAGUAACGCGUAGAUAACCUGCCCCUUAGUUUGGGAUAACCUCGGGAAACUGGGACUAAUACCGGAUAUUAUCUUUGUACGGCAUCGUAUGGAGAUGAAAGAUCUUGAAUCGCUGAGGGAGGGGUCUGCGUACUAUUAGAUAGUUGGCGAGGUAACGGCUCACCAAGUCAUUGAUAGUUAGCUGGUCUGAGAGGAUGAUCAGCCACACUGGGACUGAGAUACGGCCCAGACUCC
RNAcentral lists this ribosomal RNA (251 nucleotides) under uncultured bacterium. RNAcentral describes it as "partial 16S ribosomal RNA". It matches the Rfam family "Bacterial small subunit ribosomal RNA", at positions 91 to 339 of the family's 1533-position model. The record is from RNAcentral.